AACGAACGUUAGCGGCGCGCCUAACACAUGCAAGUCGAGCGAGAAAGGGAGCAAUCCCCGGUACAGCGGCGCACGGGUGAGUAACACGUAGGUAAUCUGCCCUCGAGUUGGGGAUAACCUUCCGAAAGGAGGGCUAAUACCGAAUGAGACCACGGAGCCGAGAGGCUUUGAGGUCAAAGCCGGCCACUUCACGAAAGCUGGUGCUUGAGGAUGAGCCUGCGGCCCAUCAGCUAGUUGGUAGGGUAAUGGCCUACCAAGGCAAAGACGGGUAGCUGGUCUGAGAGGAUGAUCAGCCACACUGGAACUGAGACACGGUCCAGACUCCUACGGGAGGCUG
Molecule: ribosomal RNA, 337 nt
Filed under: uncultured Pseudomonadota bacterium
Lineage: Bacteria; Pseudomonadati; Pseudomonadota
Description: bacterial SSU rRNA
Rfam family: Bacterial small subunit ribosomal RNA
Source: RNAcentral